RNAcentral lists this long non-coding RNA (5299 nucleotides) under Homo sapiens (human). RNAcentral's name for it is "HSALNT0264578". Lineage: Eukaryota; Metazoa; Chordata; Mammalia; Primates; Hominidae. The record is from RNAcentral.
GUCCUUUUAUUUGUAUUUACCCACAGAGUUUAUACUACUAGUAAUAGUUAUUAUCAUUGUAUUUGUUGUUAUAGAGAAGAUUAAAUUGAGUAUUGCCACUUGGCAGUCUCUGUUCAAAGCAAUUUAAGUUCUUCCAGCUCAAUCAGUCUAAGACCACCAGGGACAAGCUCCUAGUCCCACUAAGUUGGGUUGCUGAUUCAUUGCAAUGAGGGAGAGCACACAUCAGAGGAAGUGUGGGGCAUCUUACCAAAUAAAGGAACCAAUGCAGUUAUUACAGGAUUUUGGAGAAAGGUGGAGUUUUAGGCAAGAUUAAACUAAAGUAGUAUUCUGAUGGGCUCAAAGCAAAGCAGUGCCAUAUUUAAUGGAUCAACAUUAUAUCUGGACACAAAGUAGACCCAGGGUUGGUCCUGUUAAGGUCCUGUUAAUUACUUUGAAAUACCAAAGUUAAGGUAGAUGUAAAAUAUUGCAGCCAGAAACCUCUUAUUUGAAGGUUUGCACAUGAGUUGUUAACUCUGGGCUGCUUUUUUUUUUUUUUUUUUUAAUGUUAAAAUAGCUGAAAUCUUCCAGGUAAGAGGGGGAUGUUUUUAUGGGAAACCUCCAAGAACAGAGACCAGUAGGCUCACACGGCCAGCAAGGAAAUGGGACCCUAGUCCUACAACUGCAAGGAACUGAAUUUGGGCAACAACCUGAAUGAUCUUGGAAACAUUCUUCCCCAGAGCCUCCAGAAAAGAAUGCAGCCUGGCCAAUACUCUGAUUUUACCAUUAUGAGACCCUUAGCAGAAGAGCCAAGGGAGCCCACCCAGACUUCUGACCUACAGAAACUGUGGGAUAAUAAAUGUGUGUUUAAAAAAACUGAAGCCCAAACCAAGCAACCAAGCAAUCCAAGAGAGAGAUGUUUCAUGCAUACUGAUGUGAUUUCAACAUCACAUUUCUGAUAGUCUAUGACUUUGAAGAACAAAGUUUCUCACUAAAUAAGAAAGCAGAUGUCACCCAACGAAGAGGGUUUUAUGACACUUUACAAGAGUGGUGUGUCCUUGCAAGAAAUAUCAUUAGCUGUUAACUUUGCAGCUGUUUUCAUCUUUUGUCUGUUAUCCAAGCCUGAUGAAUGGCCAGACAUUUUUACUUUCUCAGUCCAAGCUAAUGUUUACUUUCUCAAAGUAUUAACUUAUUUAAUCUUCAAAACAAUACUUUGGAAUAGGUGAUAUUAUCAUUCCCCUUUUUAUAGAUGAAGAAACUGAAGCAUCAGGAGUGAUAAGUUGCUUAAGGGGCAAGAGGGAGGUCGUAAGGAGUGGUACCAGGCUUCAACUCAGGCCAUCUGCUUUCGAAACCAAGUACUUGGGUGGACUACUAAUUGAGCCCUUACACACAGGCCAGUAACAGAUAGUACCUUAGCAAAUGGAAAGAAAAUUCCUCUUAGGGAAGAAAAAUUAUUUACAAACAUUUUUCAGGCCAGAAUGUGAGAUGGGUUAGUCCAUGUGAUAGCACCAAUAAAGAAGAUAAUUGAACCCUCCAUAUUAACAAUAAUGAAAGUCCUAAUGCUUGCAUGCACUCAUACGUGCUAGGGGCUACAUAUGUGUAUUAACUCACUUUAAAAAACAUUAUAUAUGUUAACUCACUUUACAAAUCACUUGUGAACUAGGGUGGUUCCUAUUUCACAGACACGGAAAGUGUGGCCCACAGGUCUAAAGUACCUUGCCCAAGGGCACACGAAUUGUAAUGGAUAGAGCUGGAAUCCAUACCCCAGAGGCCUGGUUCCAAAGCCUGAUAUCUUAGCUAUUUUGCUAUAUAGAAAUAUAUGAGAAUUAGAGGACACAGGGACAAAAAGAAGGGAAAGAGAAAUAGAGGUGAUGGGCUGGCUGAGCCUUAUUGCAAGAGAAUAGAAGGAUUUUGAAGCUCAAAUGGCAAAUAUUCAUUUCAAAGUUAUUUGCAUUGCUGUAAUAUAAACAUCCCUCUCUCCCCAAAUCGCUAUACAUAUAAAGGUCUUAUGUAAAUGUGAUUCUUUGGUAGCGGAGGUGGCAGUCAGGGGAAAACUAUGAGUUUCACUUUUGGUUAAAAAAAAGUUCCAAAAUAUGUAAUGGAAAGUGUAUAAUUCACACAAGGUUGAAAGUAGAAGCCAGAGGGAAAUAGAAUUUACAAUUCUUUUUGGUUGGGUGAGGAUUUGUAACUUUCCAGAACAUGCACAGAGAUUUGAGUCAAUCUCACCAAAGCCUUAAGGAGCUAGAAGACUUUAGUUAACACCCAAGUUGGAUUUCCGUUAAGCAAUUUCAGAGAGAACACUCUGAGUUGAAUUUAAUCAAACCAGUAGCAGGUGAUAUAUUAUUAACUGUUAAUUAUUUCUAAUUAUUUCUAGCAUAGUAUCAGGUACUUGGUAGUCCUAGAAUAAAUAAAUAUUUGUUGAAUAAAAAUAAUGAAGACAUUAAUGACUGGUUAUUUUUAAACCAUAAUGAUUAAGGGACAGAAAUAAAUUAAUUAUUUCAUUCUGAUAUGCUUAUAGGCAAUGAGAAAAUUCUUUCCCACCCUCACACUGUUUACAUCUUUAUCUUCUGGGUUAGAGUAUAGACUACAGAUGGUUGCUAGUCCCCUCCUGUCUAUGACAAUAGCACCUGGUGCCUGUGUUGUGACUAAAAGCAACAAGUUGGUGGUACUUGAGUCAUCAAGUUCUAGAUAACUGAAGUUGAUUUGAAGACAUAAUGCAUGUAAAACGGAAAGCACAAAGUCUUUCAUGACCUCUCCUAAAUUUUUGCAUUAACCAUUUUCCAAAAUGGAAAACUUUUUAUAAUGUAUCAUAACUUUUAAGUCCCAGUUUUCUGAACCUAUUAAACUCUUUCUUUGUUUUCAGUAAUUCAUUUUUAUGAACUCUCAUUGACUGGCCAAAUAUUUACUGAGCACUCCUUUCUGGGCUGCGAUGCAAUGGUGGUCUUGAGUGCAAGUAGUUGGCGGCAUUCUUGGUUUCAAAUAGCAGAAUCCACUCUACCAGUUAAAUAAUAAAAUACACUUAUGCCAAGAUACUAAAUAGCUUGUAGCAUUAUAGAAUGUAAGAGAAUUAGACAUGGAGCCUAUGCAGUCCGGAAUGAUGGCCAAAUGACACCAAUGGCUGCCCUAAGAGAGACCAAAGUUCUGCCACCAUCAGGCACCAACCCUACAGGUUUUACUCUCUGUGGGGUGCUAUCUCAGCUACUGUUUCCUCUGAAGCAGGCAUUCUCUCUGCCACAAUUAUUCACCCUCAGCAGAGAAUGGGUUCCCCAUGGCAACUGCUUUCUCUUCCAAGUCCAAGUUGGGAAUGUGUGAUGGAAUGGGGUUGAGGUCACAUGUCCAUGCCAUAAUUACAAGCAAAUAAAUGAUUAUAGCUCCUACCUAAGGGUGGCAGACUUAAAAGAGGAGAAAUUAUCCAAAAAAUAGAAAGGCCACGUCAAACAAGCUGGGUAGUCACAUACAUGGCACAUGCCCACUACAGCCAUGAAGUCAUGUGGGAGGCAUCUUUUUGACAAGGAGGGCCCUGCUUUAAAGGAUCUUAGCUUGCUGCUUCAUUUUACUUGGUCUUUCUUGGUCUUAUCUCUUCUUCACUCUUAGUUGUCAUUUAUUCCCACUACUGGUUAAUGGGGGAAAAAUACUCUUUAUUUUUAAUUAGUUAUGAUGGGUAUAAUUUAUUGAGCUCCUAGUAUGUUCUAGGCUCUAUGUAAGAAAGUUUUACAUAUAUAUAUAUUUUUUGUUGUUGUUUGUUUAUUUUAUUUUAUUUUAUUUUUUUUGAGAUGGAGUCUCACCCUGUCGCCCAGGCUGGAGUGCAAUGGCACGAUCUCGGCUCACUGCAACCUCUGCCUCCCACGUUCAACCGAUUCUCCUGUCUCAGCCUCGCGGAUAGCUGGGACUACAGGGUCUCACUCUGUCACCCAGGCUGGAGUGCAGUGGCAUGAUCUAGGCUCAACUUCUUCCUUCUGGACUCAAGUGAUCCUCUCACCUCAGCCUCCCAAGUAGCUGGGACUACAGGUGCGUACUACCACACCCAGCUAAUUUUUGUAUUAUUUUGUAGAGUCAGGGUCUUACUAUGUCGUUGCCCAGGCUGGGCUUGAAUGACUGGGCUCAAGCGAUCGGCCCACCUUGGCCCCCCAAAAUGUUGGGAUUACGGGUGUGAGCCACUGUGCCCAGCCUCAAGUAUAUAUUGCUUGAACAAAUCUGACAUUUCGGAUUUCCCUCAAGUGAUCUUGUCCUUUAAGACAAACACUAAAAAAGUUCAUUCUCCUCAAAUAAUUUGGAUGGGGAGUUUUUGCAAUAAACUAAGAAGAAAUCAGCACCCUGUAGUACAUUCCUUAGGUACUUUAUUAAGGCUGAGGAGGUAUCAUAUGAGUUGUAGAGAUCUUUCUGUAAUGUUCUACUUCUCUGAAAGACUUGAAUUCACGGUGUGAAAAUAUAAUUUUCACAUGGCUUAGGAUGUCAGGCUGGUUUCCCAGUUCUUACUCUGCUUUUAUUUAUUUAUUUGCAUGUAGCAAAAUGUCUUCUGCUUUUUUUUAAAAGGUGAAGGCAGGCCAGGUGUGGUGACCCACACUUGUAAACUCAGGACUUUGGGAGGCCGAGGCAGGAGGAGCAUUUGAGCCCAAGAGUUUGAGACCAAACUUGGUAACAUACAGAGACCUUGUCUCUAUUUAAAAAAAAAAAAAAGAAAAAAAAUCUUUUAAAAAGGUCAAGGCAUUGCCUUGAAAACUGCUGAGAUAAGUCCCAGUGGUCUGAUUAUAGCUACCCUCAGCUCACUUGCUCAGGGCUGACACAAACAUCUCAGCUUUGAGUGAGCACGGUGUUCCCCUCUCUGUGUGUAGAUGUGUUUUCGUGUGCGUGGCUAUGAAUGUGAGGUCAACCAGGUGCUGGAAAUGUUUGGUUGACAUUAUAUGGCACAUGGCCUGACUUUAACCUGACAACAGCAGGCCUGGCUAUAUGUGCCACCAAUGGCAGGAUUCAUUUUAUUCCUCUUCCGUAUUUGGAUGCUUGGCACUCUCGCGGUUCGCCCUGCAACAACCAAUGGGCUUCUUCUCUGGCUCUUUUUCACGGUGCUGUGGCUGGGCUCUAGAAUAUAGAGUACCACUGGGUGACCUUGCAAUAAAGAACGCAAAGCCCCCAAAAUGGCACUGGGCUCAUUAGCAGCUAUUCUCCUCAGGUCCCCUGCACAGGGCAGACUUCUUAGGAGGAAGAGAAGCAAGAUAGGAUCAGAAUCAGGUCCUGAGUCAGGCCCCAAAUUAUCGCUGAGUUUCGUUCCUGGCAGAAAAGCCCCACACCUGACCCCAAGCAUCAACCUGCAAAUUGGCCUUCAGAG